AGGUAUUGCACAGUGGUAUUUCUAAUUCUAUCAUUCGUUUAACUUUAGUAUUUAAAGCUUUUAAAAAACUUUAAUCAACUGUGGUUUUCUUAAAAUACAAGAUAGAUCAUGUUGAUUGUUACAUUUACCAGUUUUACCAUCUGACAACCUCAAGAGGUAAGUCAUGAGUUUUUUAUACACUUGUGCUUUAAUCCGUUGUCACAGUUUUUUUAUGUCCAAAUCGUGUGAUUUUUGGCUAACGAGAGCCACUUCAUAUUGGCUUCUGUAUCCUUUUGGUUAUUGAUAGCUUACUUGUUUUCAGGAAUAAGAUGUUCCAGUCUUACAUAUUUCCUUUUCAGAAUGUGGAAUCAAGAGCUACGUUUUUUUGGGUAGAAAAUUAAAGCCUUGAUAACUAUUUAAAUUAUCAGGUAAUAUAAAAAUCAGAUGACAUUAAUGGUGUUAUUAACUGAUUCUAUAAGGGCAUUGGAACAUUUUCUAACUUGUCCUUUAUGGGAAAUGUUUAAGGCUGACAGAAAUUUGGUUUUUUUUUGUUUUGUUUUGUUUUUCUCAUUUUCAUUGCAAAUAAUAGGCAGAUAACAUGUACUGUAUAUUAAUUUUUCUUUCAAAAUUAAAUUUAUCCAUGUCUAUUGGGAAUCUCAGGAGAUUGAUUAUAAAAGUCAAGAUUGUUUUUUCUGAGUGGUUAAAAGCACUUUAAAGUUGUAUUCAAAUUAAGUUGUAGCUCCUAUGUAGAACUGUGUACAUAUCAAGUCGUGAAAGAUAUUGGAGCUGUAUGAAUCCAUCAUAAAAACUGGUGCCCAAAUUGCUCCCCUCAUUAAAAUUUGACCCAGUUUCAUAGUAUGGGUUUUAACAGCGACUGACCACAUUUGAGUGAUGGUCUGUGCAGAGGUACCAGUUAUUGGUGAGUCUUUACAUCUGGCUAUAAGGCAGUCCUGGUAAGGAAUGAGUGUUGGAUGAUGGCCAAAAGUGAACUGUGAAGUUGACCCUGUGACUGAUCAAGCCACCAAAGUUCUCUCCAGUGCUUGAGUAAAGCCCAGUGCUUAAAUAAAGCCAUCACCAAGGGGACCACCCCAGAGUACUGGCAAAAUCCUUCCUCUACUACCUCUAUUGUAUCCGUCCUGAAAGGAUGCACUAUUUUUUCCAGAAUGUGGAAACCAACCAUAGUUUAAAAUUUUUGCAUUUCGCAUCGUAUAUUGGCUCACAAAGCAUAUUAUGGUAACAUUUUUCUAGGCUCUGUUUUCUUAGCGGGCCAGUGAAAGUGUGACACAGGCUGUGAAGUGUUCCUUCCUCCACCCCUCCCAAAUAUUUUUUGAUCCUUUCCAAAGAUGAGAAUUGAAAUCAUGUUUGAGAUGGUCUCAGCACCUGUCAUGGGCCAUAGUUUGUAUUUUGAGAGUCAUGUUGAUUGGCCUAAUGUUUAGAAAAGUCCUAAUCUUGAGAAAUUGGGAUUGACUAGGAAUUUAGAGGACACAUUUAUGUUUCAAUUAAUUUAACUUGUGGACAUGAGUCUUAUUUUUGUCCAGAAGUCAUGUCUUUAAUGGCCAUUACUGUAAGUCAUCAGUAGGGGGUCAUAGCCCCACAUUCUCAGGACAUUCUGAUCAUUUGAAGCACGGAGAGUUUCGUAAGUCUGUAAUGGGUUUCUAAGUACUUGUUCAUGUAGCUCAUACAAGUUCCCAGAACUACUCAUGGUCAACUCAAACUGUUUCUUUUCCUUUCUUGUGUUUUUCUAUCCUUCUCAGUUUUGUAGUUGAGGUGGAACUAAGUAGAAUGUACUACUUCCAGGCCUUUAGGAUGUAGUUACUUGAGAAACACCCCCACCGUGGUUAAAAGAAUUUCACUUUUUUUUUUUUGUAAUCAGUCAGAACAGUUUAUACUUAUAUUGUGAUUCUUGUCAAAAGAUUUAUUUUGAGGGAGAAGGACAUAUUUGGGGAAUUAGAUCUAGUUUGGAGGAUUUACCCCCAAUUAACUUAAAACAGAAGGCUUUUUUUUUAAACUAGAUUUUUAAAAACUCUUAAUAGCAAUUUGAAUUUUUAAGAAGUUUUACUUCUUUAGGAUAUUAGAGAAGAUUAUGUUACUUGGUCUGAAAUGGAUUCAUUUAUGUAUCUUCCUAGCUAACUAUUAAAGAGCUGAUUACGGUAUCACUUUGCAAAUAGGGAAGUAAGGCAGAGGGAGGUGUUUUUUUUACUUUGGGGUGAUAUAAUAAACACUGAAUCAGAUAUCCGUCAGUACCUAAAAAUAAGAUUAAUGUGCAACCAAGUCUUUAUAGAAGGAAAGUUAGAGAUACACUGUAAGAUACAUAAAGUUAUAAAAAUGGUUUAGAACAGAGUACAAAUUCAUUUUGUCCUUGCCUCUUUAGAACAUAAUUCCAGUUCAGUGUUACAAACAGCAGUUGGAGUAGUGUUUCUUCAAAUACAAUAGUUCUUCCUCCCCUGCAUCAGAAUCACCUGGAGUAAAUAGAAUUAUUUAAGUGAAACAAGGAGAACAGAAAGAUUAGAUCCUUAAAGGAUUUAGGGAGAAGUUUUCAGGAUCUAGCACUUAAGACAUUCUGUGAAAGGAUGGGGCUGUGGGUUGGUGUUAGGGAGGAAAAUGUACUCAACAUCUGAUGAACUAUGGUAUUAAAACUAAGUGCUGUGCUACAUUCAUGGUUCCUUGUUUGUCUGCCACCUAAUAAUGUGGUGGCUUACAAAGUUAGGACCUCUUGAGCAUCUUCCAAACUAGAUAGACUUGAAUGCAAAUACCAUUUCUGUCACUGCUAGCUUUGUAACCUUGGAAAAGUUGCUUUAUAAUUACCUUAUCUACAAGGACAAGAUAGUGCCUGUCCUUGUUGUGUCUUGAUGAAGAAUAAAUGACAUCAUGUAAAUUAGGUGACACAAUGCAUAGUCAAGUUGUGCAGCUUGUAUCAGUGAAGAAGUUGAAAAGAUUAUAAUAUCUUUUCUAAAUGUUUUUAAAAAAUUGUUUAUAAGGAAGCUUCAUUUGUAAUAAAACUGCUUUCUUGACUUAGAUUUCUGCUUUUUUUACGAAGUCUCCUUAGAAACCCAGUAGAAAUAAAUGAGAACUUCUUCCUUUGAAAAAAAUGCAGUGUGUUGACAUAGGUGAAAUGUAAUCUCUAACCCCUGGUAAAUUAUAGCUGCUCCAAAAACACUGAGCAUGAUUCUGGGUAAAAGAAAACAUCUUUCAGAAAGAGUGUUGCUUGAGCUAGUUCACUUGAGAAACGCAAAGUAUUUCCUAGUUAAGUUUUUCUUCCUCUUAGAUCCCCAAGGCUUGAUUUGGUCUGUUUUCCUAAGAAUUGUCUCUGCCUAAACUUCUGAACAAAUAUAUUCCAGGGCAUAUGAUUAACUAAGAUGAUACGGAAACUCUAAACAAACUGAGUCAAUUAGCUGGAAUUGGUCUGGGUUGCCAGCAUGCCACUUUCUCUACCUUUGUUCUCAGUGAAUCUGAUUACUAAUGACUAGUAUGCCCUGAUAGCAUAGAACGAGGAGCAUAUGAAAGCCAUAGAUUGUCUACUGAGCUGCUCCUUUAUAACAAGGAACAGUUUUAACUGCUGUAAGGCACUUAAACAGAAUGACAAUUUAUAGGUGUUGGCACUAGAAAUGAUUUCUGUUGCUAUGGCUAAAGACCAUAGGGGUGCUUGAAAGAGUCUGGAACAAAACAUUCUUCCUGCUGAAUUUCUCAAGUUUGAAAGUAAUGUUUGCUUUAUGACCUGGAAAAAGGAUCUCUAACUGGAAUGUGUAUAAUUUACUUGUCCAGUUAUUUAUACUAAUGUGAAAUUAUACACACAAUCUAAUUCUCUUGUGUUAUAUUUUCUUACAUAUAUCAGAUCUUGUCUGUUCUUAAACCUCACAAAUCUGAUGAAUGUGUGCUACUAGGACAGCACUCGAUUCAUCUUAAACAGGCACCAUGGACUGUUCUCUGCGAUACCCGUCUGCCAAGCUGCCCUGCCUUGGAGCUAGCCAAUAUGGACUGAAACCUCUACAACUAUGAGCUAAAUAAACCUUUCCUCCUUUUAAAAAAAUACUGUUCCCCGCUGAAAAAAACUUUGUCCAAGGAAUAAAAGACAUUCCUUACAUAGUGAGAUGCUACUACUGUCUCUCUAGAAAUAAAACCACAACAUCCCUUU
Chinchilla lanigera (long-tailed chinchilla) is the source of this 4111-nucleotide long non-coding RNA. RefSeq lists it as uncharacterized. The transcript is spliced from 2 exons. The record is from RefSeq and is a predicted model, not a curated record. Lineage: Eukaryota; Metazoa; Chordata; Mammalia; Rodentia; Chinchillidae.